UACGGGCCUGGUUCUCCGCGCUGCACAGCGGCCCCGCUGAGGGCUGGGGGUGGCGGGAACCUCCCUCGCGUACCGGGACUGUCAUGGAGAUACCCCGAUCCCGGUCCCGGCCUGCUCAGCCUGACUGACGCUGGAGCAUCGCAACAACCCGAACCGUCCUCGCGCAGCGCCACGGAGGCGCCCCGCUCCCGCUCAGCUCUCGCUCCCAGAGCCCAGCGCCUUGCGAGCCCCGGCCGGGUGUGUUCCUAGGCGGCUUCCGUAGCGGACAAUUUCCAGUCCCGCUGUGCAUGGCGCAGCCGCUUAGGCACCCGGUCUCGGGACGGCCCUGUCCCAGGUGCUCUGCGGCCCAGGCGGCGGGUUUGGGACCUCCGUCAGCUUGCGUCAGCCUCCCGUUCUCCUCGUCCUCCCCGUUCUCCCCGUUCUCCAAGUCCUUGGGGUCCGUGCGCUCCCUCGUUUGCCUUCCCGCGGGCCAGGCGGAAGACGGAACGAAGCUGCGCGGCCCGGGUUCCGGUCGGAAGCUGUCAGCGCGGCCUUACUCGCGAGGGAAGAACAAUGGCCAGUGCAGCUGUCCUGACCACAGGUUGGUGACCUCAGCAGUUUUCUCCAGGCCCUGCGUCUCAUUUUGCACUUUCAACAAACAUUUGUUGAACACCUCCUCCAUGUGAGGCUGGGGGGGGGGGGUGGGCGCGGGGGUUCCGGCCUGAGAAACAAACAAGCCCCUGAGGCCCUGCAGCCCUGACAGGAAGCAGGGUACCCGGAUGGAGACAUAGCCGAUGGCUUGGACACAGGACAAAUCAUUGGAAAGAACUUUCUUUCCUUUUUGUUUAUUUAUUUAUUGUCUUUUUGAGACCGAGUUUCAAUAUGCAGUUCAAAUUGGCCCUCAACUCACUUUGUAGCCCAGGCUGGCCUCGAACGCACAGUGAGCCUCCAGUGCUUCAGCCUCCCCAGUGCUGGCAUUACAGGUGUGUGCCACCACGCCCGGCUGGAAAGAACUUUCUGAGCAGUGUGUGGCCACUCGCUUGCCUGCAGUUAUCAAGGCUGAUUCUGGCUGUUUCUUUGGACUUGUUUCUGCUGUGUCUAAAUCACAUUCUCCUGCUUCUCGAAGUAUCUAGUAAUUCUGGUUAGAUGCUAGAUAUUAUAUAUUCUGCUGCCUAGUGUCUACACUUUUGUAGGUCCCUUGAAAGAAUGCUGACUUUGUAUCACCUAACAAUUAAAUGGCUUGCAGAUUUU
Cavia porcellus (domestic guinea pig) is the source of this 1230-nucleotide long non-coding RNA. RefSeq lists it as uncharacterized. The record is from RefSeq and is a predicted model, not a curated record. The transcript is spliced from 2 exons. Lineage: Eukaryota; Metazoa; Chordata; Mammalia; Rodentia; Caviidae.